UAAUGCACGGUGAGGGAACAUGUUGAAAUCUCCUGGUGCCAUUUGCUCCCAUCAGUGUCGCUGAUAGAGUCAUUAGAGAGCUGCUGCAGCUCAGCGCCGGGGUCUCUCCGCUGAGAAUGGCCCCGUUGGACGGGGGAACAAGCUCCGCGUGGCUCCCGGGCCUCCGAGCACUCCACUCCAGCGAACAGGUCGCAGCCGCAGAAACGGGCCGGUGUUAACAAUGGAUAAUGGGAGAGUGGAUUGCAGUUAUCCGCCGCGUGAUUUAAAGCUUUUUACAGAGCGUUUUCCUCUGCGACCGCGGCGACAGCGAGGCUCUGGGAGUUUCUCGGGGCGCCACGCGCGACCCCCAUGCUAAUGCAGGAGCCUCCUCUUUAUCUGUUGGGGGCCGACGUGAUCACCCGUGGAACGGCCGGAGAAGCAAAAGUGCUGAAAUCGUCGAAACGGUGUGCCUGGUUGAUGUCCUCCUCCUUUGGUGGGGAACAUAUGUCCACAGCAGCUGUGCCACCGUGAAUAGGCAGUGAUUGUGCGCGAGCUAACUGCAUUCCUGGGAGCCAGGCCAAGUCUGAGUGGAGUGAGCUGUCCCAUUUUUUGAUACAAGCUUCUCCUACAUUCCACUCCAUUUACAUGUCUCUCUUUUUCCCACAGAGGCCAAAAUAGCGGCCCGACUUUGAAGAUCGUUUGUCUCCGACGGAAGAUGCUGAAGAGGUGAUGUGUGACGAGCCGCGCUGCAGACGUGCGACUCCAGCAGAUGCGUCGCCGUGCGCAGCAUCCUCCCGGUGACACAGUUUUCUGCCGGCUCUCGCGCUGUGACUCCGUGACUCCUGCGCUAAUGAUGUAUGGCGGAAGCUUGAGCCAGGCCAGGUUGUCUAGUCAGGCGAAGCUAUUUCUGCGUUGGGCUGAGUGAAAGCGCAAGGCACAAUCGGCUCGAGAAACAUUUUUCAUGAAUAUUUUUAAGCUUUGGUCUUUUUUGGACACGCCGAAAGGCGGCUGAACAACAAGCACAUGACAACAUGCGUUAUCAGCAGCUGAUUUUAGCAGCUGGAUGGAGAAAAAGUUAAAGAAUUUGCAACUCUCGUGAAAAAGGUCUUGAGAUAGAUAGUGCCGUGCGCCUCAGCCUAGUUGAGUUACAAACUGAAACACCUGUAAUUGUUAUCAGAGAGGAAACAAUCUGAGUAAACACUCGGGGGCGACUGAGAAAUGGAAAUGUCACUCCUGCGUGGGCCGAUGUCUGAUCACAAACAAACAAUAGGCAUCCCAAGCAUUCCUCCGUCCUAUCACCGACCUCCAUCCCGCGAGGAACAAGGUCAAUAGAAGCGCUGCAAAUGGGAUGGUGAUCCCAAAAUAACAGCCCCCAGCCCCAGCAGCCCCCCCCCCCCCCACACACACACACACACACGUCCACCUCCACCUCCUUCUCUCUUAAACAACACAAUCACACAAUCAAAGCGCGACUGCCUUUCUCUCAUUGUUUAAUUUCUGCUGGCUAUCUUAGAUAUCUCUGCAGCUGUUCUUAUCUUUGACCUUCAGCUUGUUGCUUUGUCGUUCCACCCCCCCCCAUCCUCCACCCACCUACCUGCCCCCACCCACCCACCCCCCACGCCAGCGUGCUGCGACCUUCAGAGGGGUGUCAUUACUCCCUGACCCAUUUGACGAUCCCCUCAUGUGGAAUGUGCAUAUGCCGAAUCGCUGCGGAUCUGCACAGUAUGGGGUGAGGUGAAGUACUUACAGAAAUAUGACUUGACACGCUUUAUCAAAUGGGGAAAGAUGAAGACGAAACAGCUGCUGGUGCUGUCGUAAGCAAUCUGGCCGUGAUUGAAUAAAAGUGUCAAGAAAAGGGCCGCUUGAUGGUCU
RNAcentral lists this long non-coding RNA (1851 nucleotides) under Betta splendens (Siamese fighting fish). RNAcentral's name for it is "lncRNA (ENSBSLG00000016903.1)". The record is from RNAcentral. Lineage: Eukaryota; Metazoa; Chordata; Actinopteri; Anabantiformes; Osphronemidae.